This 478-nucleotide ribosomal RNA is filed under the name uncultured bacterium. RNAcentral's name for it is "partial 16S ribosomal RNA". It matches the Rfam family "Bacterial small subunit ribosomal RNA", at positions 28 to 523 of the family's 1533-position model. The record is from RNAcentral.
GACGAACGCUGGCGGCGUGCUUAACACAUGCAAGUCGAACGGUAAGGCCCUUCGGGGUACACGAGUGGCGAACGGGUGAGUAACACGUGGGUGAUCUGCCCUGCACUUCGGGAUAAGCCUGGGAAACUGGGUCUAAUACCGGAUAGGACCACUGCCUGCAUGGGUGGUGGUGGAAAGCUUUUGCGGGGUGGGAUGGGCCCGCGGCCUAUCAGCUUGUUGGUGGGGUGAUGGCCUACCAAGGCGACGACGGGUAGCCGGCCUGGGAGGGUGACCGGCCAGACUGGGACUGAGAUACGGCCCAGACUCCUACGGGAGGCAGCAGUGGGGAAUAUUGCACAAUGGGCGCAAGCCUGAUGCAGCGACACCGCGUGAGGGAUGACGGCCUUCGGGUUGUAAACCUCUUUCAGCAUCGACGAAGCGAAAGUGACGGUAGGUGCAGAAGAAGGACCGGCCAACUACGUGCCAGCCGCCGCCGUAA